AGCGGAGGAAAAGAAACCAACAGGGAUUGCCUUAGUAACGGCGAGUGAAGCGGCAACAGCUCAAAUUUGAAAUCUGGCCCUCGGGUCCGAAUUGUAAUUUGUAGAGGAUGAUUUUGGUGCGGUAUCUUCCGAGUUCCUUGGAACAGGACGCCUUAGAGGGUGAGAGCCCCGUACGGUUGAAUGCCUAGCCUCUGUAAAUCUCCUUCGACGAGUCGAGUAGUUUGGGAAUGCUGCUCUAAAUGGGAGGUAAAUUUCUUCUAAAGCUAAAUAUUGGCCAGAGACCGAUAGCGCACAAGUAGAGUGAUCGAAAGAUGAAAAGCACUUUGAAAAGAGGGUUAAAUAGCACGUGAAAUUGUUGAAAGGGAAGGAUUUGUGACCAGACUUUUUCUGGGCGGAUCAUCCGGGGUUCUCUCCGGUGCACUUUGCCCAGUAAAGGCCAGCAUCGAUUUUCGGCGGCGGAUAAAAGCAGUGGGAAUGUGGCUCCCUACGGGGAGUGUUAUAGCCCAUUGUAUAAUACGCUGCUGGGGAUCGAGGUACGCGCUUCUGCAAGGAUGCUGGCGUAAUGGUUAUCAAUCACCCGUCUUGAA
This 587-nucleotide ribosomal RNA is filed under the name Pestalotiopsis sp. RNAcentral describes it as "partial large subunit ribosomal RNA". It matches the Rfam family "Eukaryotic large subunit ribosomal RNA", at positions 49 to 658 of the family's 3401-position model. The record is from RNAcentral. Lineage: Eukaryota; Fungi; Ascomycota; Sordariomycetes; Amphisphaeriales; Sporocadaceae.